GACGAACCGUGCGAAUGUUGUUCGGAAUCACUGGGCUUAAAGGGCGCGUAGGCGGCUCCAAAAGUCAGGGGUGAAAUCCGGCAGCUUAACUGUCGCAGUGCCUUUGAUACUGUGGAGCUAGAGGGAGGUAGGGGUCUGUGGAACUUCCGGUGGAGCGGUGAAAUGCGUUGAUAUCGGAAGGAACGCCGGUGGCGAAAGCGACGGACUGGAUCUCUUCUGACGCUGAGGCGCGAAAGCGUGGGGAGCGAACAGG
Molecule: ribosomal RNA, 253 nt
Filed under: uncultured bacterium
Lineage: Bacteria
Description: partial 16S ribosomal RNA
Rfam family: Bacterial small subunit ribosomal RNA
Source: RNAcentral